This 110-nucleotide ribosomal RNA is filed under the name uncultured bacterium. RNAcentral's name for it is "partial 16S ribosomal RNA". It matches the Rfam family "Bacterial small subunit ribosomal RNA", at positions 1357 to 1482 of the family's 1533-position model. The record is from RNAcentral.
CUGCGGUGAAUACGUUCCCGGGUCUUGUACACACCGCCCGUCAAACCAUGAAAGUGACCAACGCCCGAAGUCCGAUUCGUCGGCCUAAGGUGGGGGGCAUGAUUGGGGUU